UACAGAGGGUGCAAGCGUUAAUCGGAAUUACUGGGCGUAAAGCGUGCGCAGGCGGUUAUUUAAGUCGGAUGUGAAAUCCCCGGGCUCAACCUGGGAAUUGCAUUCGAUACUGGAUAGCUAGAGUUCGGCAGAGGGAAGUGGAAUUUCAGGUGUAGCGGUGAAAUGCGUAGAUAUCUGAAGGAACAUCAGUGGCGAAAGCGACUUCCUGGACCAGAACUGACGAUCAGGCACGAAAGCGUGGGGAGCAAACAGG
This 253-nucleotide ribosomal RNA is filed under the name uncultured bacterium. Its description in RNAcentral is "partial 16S ribosomal RNA". It matches the Rfam family "Bacterial small subunit ribosomal RNA", at positions 524 to 776 of the family's 1533-position model. The record is from RNAcentral.